This 370-nucleotide ribosomal RNA is filed under the name uncultured organism. RNAcentral's name for it is "bacterial SSU rRNA". It matches the Rfam family "Bacterial small subunit ribosomal RNA", at positions 526 to 896 of the family's 1533-position model. The record is from RNAcentral.
CGAAGGAUGCUAAGCGUUAUCCGGAUUUAUUGGGUUUAAAGGGAGCGUAGGCGGUCUUAUAAGUCAGUGGUGAAAUCUCGUCGCUUAACGACGAACGUGCCAUUGAUACUGUAGGACUUGAGUACAGAUGCCGUUGGCGGAAUGUGUCAUGUAGCGGUGAAAUGCAUAGAUAUGACACAGAACACCGAUUGCGAAGGCAGCUGACGAAACUGUAACUGACGCUGAGGCUCGAAAGCGUGGGGGAUCAAACAGGAUUAGAUACCCUGGUAGUCCACGCCCUAAACUAUGAUUACUCGUUGUCGGCGAUAUACAGUCGGUAACUAAGCGAAAGCGUUAAGUAAUCCACCUGGGGAGUACGCCCGCAAGGGUG